UGAAUACGAGACGCUACGGCGUCGAAGCAGUCUAUGUCAUACUUCCAAGAAAAGCUUGCACUGUCAUAAACAAAUAAUGCCUGUACCAUAACCGACACAGGUGGGUAGGUAGAGUAUACUAAGGGGCGCGAGAUAACUCUCUCUAAGGAACUCGGCAAAAUGACUCCGUAACUUCGGGAGAAGGAGUGCCUUAUUUAUAAGGUUGCAAUAACAAGAUCCAAGCAACUGUUUAUCAAAAACACAGGUCUCCGCUAAGUCGUAAGACGAUGUAUGGGGGCUGACGCCUGCCCAGUGCCAGAAGGUUAAAUAAGUUGGUUAGCAUUAGCGAAGCUGAUAACUGAAGCCCUGGUGAACGGCGGCCGUAACAAUAACGGUCCUAAGGUAGCGAAAUUCCUUGUCGGGUAAGUUCCGACCCGCACGAAAGGCGUAAUGAUUUGGAUACUGUCUCAGAGAGGGGCUCGGUGAAAUAGACUUGUCUGUGAAGAUGCGGACUACCUGCACCAGGACAGAAAGACCCUAUGAAGCUUUACUGUAACUUGAAAUUGAAAUUGGACUUUAUUUGCGCAGUAUAGGUGGGAGGCAUUGAUAAUAUUCUUGCGGGAAUGUUGGAGCCAUCAGUGAGAUACCACUCUUGUAAUGUUAGAUUUCUAACUUUGGAUCAUUAUCUGGUCAAAGGACAGUUUCAGGCGGGCAGUUUGACUGGGGCGGUCGCCUCCUAAAUGGUAACGGAGGCGCACAAAGGUUUCCUCUGAACGGGUAGAAAUCGUAUCUAGAGUGUAAAGGCAUAAGGAAGCUUGACUGUGAGACCUACAAGUCGAGCAGGGACGAAAGUCGGUCUUAGUGAUCUGACGGUGCUGAGUGGAAAGGCCGUCACUCAACGGAUAAAAGUUACUCUAAGGAUAACAGGCUGAUCUCCCCCAAGAGUUCACAUCGACGGGGAGGUUUGGCACCUCGAUGUCGGCUCAUCGCAUCCUGGGGCGGUAGUACGUCCCAAGGGUUGGGCUGUUCGCCCAUGAAAGCGGUACGCGAGCUGGGUUCAGAACGUCGUGAGACAGUUCGGUCCAUAUCCGGUGUAGGCGUUAGAAUAUUGAGAGGAGCCUUCUUUAGUACGAGAGGACCGAGAAGGACAUACCUCUGGUGUACCAGUUAUCGUGCCAACGGUAAACGCUGGGUAGCUAUGUAUGGAGAGGAUAACCGCUGAAAGCAUCUAAGUGGGAAGCCCACCUCAAGAUAAGUAUUCUCAUCAC
Molecule: ribosomal RNA, 1247 nt
Filed under: metagenome
Description: bacterial LSU rRNA
Rfam family: Bacterial large subunit ribosomal RNA
Source: RNAcentral